GACGAACCGUACGAACGUUAUUCGGAAUUACUGGGCUUAAAGGGCGCGUAGGCGGCCCUGUUUGUCGCGUGUGAAAGCCCCGGGCUCAACCCAGGAAGUGCACUCGAAACUGCGAGGCUAGAGUACUGGAGAGGUUGGUGGAAUUCUCGGUGUAGAGGUGAAAUUCGGUAGAUAGUACGAGAGGGAACACCGGUGGGACGAAAGGCGGGGU
RNAcentral lists this ribosomal RNA (211 nucleotides) under uncultured bacterium. Its description in RNAcentral is "partial 16S ribosomal RNA". It matches the Rfam family "Bacterial small subunit ribosomal RNA", at positions 524 to 727 of the family's 1533-position model. The record is from RNAcentral.